CUUAGUUGUGUUUAACUAAUUGUUUGUGUCUGUGCUGAGAAAUUAUUAUUAUUAUUAUUAAAUUAUAUAAUGAAUAUAUAUAUAUAUAUCACAUCGCAGAAUUAACAAUCGAGAACAUGGAUAAUAAAUUUUAGUAGAUUUUGAUGAGAACAAUACGAUUUGGCAUGAGUGGCUUUAUACGAUGCUGAUAACCUUCGUUAUAUUAUAAAGUUGAUGUUCUAAUUUGUCGACUUUAUUAAUUAUUUAUUUACGAUUACUGCACGCAGAAUUACAUUUCUUAUCGAUUUACUAACGGAAAGUUCUCAGCGAAUCGCUAACUGAAUUUUUUUUGUCUGGCCUAUGCGAUUUUUUUAAUAAAGAAAAUGGCGAAUUUUUAAGAAAAGUUGUUGUGCCUCAGUUAUAUUUUUGAAUCGGCGCAUAUAACUAACCGAAUAAUUGGGCAAUGGUGCAAUAUUUUACUAUUUUGUCGCAUAAUUUCGCUUGUUAAUAAUGAAGUUUUUCCGAUAGGUGAAGUGUUUAAUAAGCUCAAUUGUUUUACAAGAUAUAUAACUCGAAGAAGUAAUGAAAUAGCGUAAUUUGGCGUGGCUGUCCGGAAACAAGAAAGUAGAUUGGUUUCAUAUCGGAAGUAAAACGGAAAAGGAAGGAAACGGAAAGCCAACGUCCAACCCUUAAAACUAAUCGCGUGUUCCGGGUCAUCCUUUUUUUUAUAUUCUCUUCCUCUUUUCAUUCAAAUCCGAAUUGAAACGAAGCGGAAACAAUCGACUUUACUCCCGGAAAUGUUCAUUUCCGUUCCGAGCACGGAAAUCAUCCCGUUUCCGGAAGUGUGCUGACCGGAAUUGCAAAAGGGGUUUUAUGGGCGGAGUUUGAAGUUUUAAUGAGUUGCCUAGUUGGAUGUUAAUGGAGACUACCAAUCAAAGUCGCGGCUGCAUCACUUAUUCGUUGUCGUAGCGUCGGCAAAAGUCGUCGUUUAAUUUAUGGAGUAUAAUUUGCUCCUGCCACAAUGCCAUUCAAAUUUUUAUAACAUAUUUAUAAAGGAAGUUUUGAAUGGGAAUAUGUGGUAGAAAACGGCAGUUUUUAUUUUCCCUGCAGAGGAAGAAGGGAGGAAAAAAAAAUCUUAACGAGUAUGAAGCUCGAUUUUUUUGUUUUGUGUACAUCAUUGUCAUGCAGGAAAGCCGACUUGAGUUGGAGCAGAGUGGAGUUGAUCGGCAUUAUGAAACUGUUGCUUGGCUUAUAGAACUAAACUAUUAGCAGCUUUCUUGUAGCACUAUAUCUGUAACCAGAACAACAAGAGACCAACCAUUAAUGUCUCCGGCCUAGACAUAAAGUGAAUCAAAUUAUACGCUCCCUUUCGACGUUAAUCUUGUCUAGCGACAAAAGCGCCCAGUUAACUCUCACUAUAGAGAAAACAUGGUGCAGUCUUUAAAUGCCAAAGGUCGAAAUGGUGCUAAAAGACAACUAGGCAACUGCAGAAAAUUAAAAAAAGAGUAAAACGUUUGAUAAGAAAGAGAGAUAUUUAACUGACUUAUAUCACCGGGAAGUAAAGUGCAUCUUUGUAGAUAGACUAACUGAAGGUAACAGUCGAAAGUUUGUAAACGUUCAAAGCAAUUUAAGGCGUACGGAUAAAUUUCUCGAAAUUAAAUUAUCUACUGAAAGGACAAAGUGAUCCUGUCACUUCAUGUGACGAAUUAGUUCAAACGCCUUCCUUUCAAAUGGCUUUUUGUUCCAAAGUGAUUUAGUUUCAGGUUUUUCCUUAUUCGGUAACGACUUUGCACUUUUUUACAUGUAUAUGCUAGAAAUAUUCUGAAAAUAAGAAGGAAUAGGAGUAUUUUAUCGUUCUUAGCACAUAAUUAUUGCCUUUUCUCUUAAGAGAUGAAUAAAAAAAAUCGGCAUAGAAUCGACAUUAAAGCAGCUUAGGUGCUUAAACCGCGCAUCAUUCACUGCAUUCCGAAGCAAUUACAACUAUAUAUUCUUCAAAAACUACAACAAAAACUAUAUUUUAAUCAAUAUAAAAGCAAAAUUGCGACAAGAUACAAUCUGUUUUCACAAUUUGGAGUCGAUCGAAAUGAUUGUCGAAAAAGUUUUCAGUCGAACUCCUCCCAUGUUCUUCGAAAGAAAAAAAGAUCUUUUUUAGAGGAAAAGAAGAAGUGAUGUUUUGCGGACGACACACGUCACACUUCAUUCAGUAGAAAAGUGUUCCUUUUUUUCGACAGAACUAGAUGCAAUCAAAGUUGUGUCUUUCCGAGAUCAUACAAGAAACAAAUCGAAGAAUUUUCUUCUGUGGAAAAAAAAAAACGCAUUUAAACGAUUAAAAAAAAUUAAUGAAAUUGGAAAUAAUUAACGGACAAAAAUUUCGCUUUCUAUUGUAAUACAAAAUUUAGAAACAAAUGAUUUAAUUGGAUGAAGAGCCGAGUUCAUCUACUUCAAAAUAAUUAGAUAUGAUCGUGGCAAAAGAAGUCAUUUCUUUAGACUGCUUCUGAUGUAAAUUAUUUGUUGAAACAACUUCCACAAAAUUUACAUUCUUUCAAAUUAUGUUUAUUCUUCACCACCGUAAAAAAAAAAAAAAAAAAGAUUUUUUCGCCAAGCG
Molecule: long non-coding RNA, 2584 nt
Filed under: Androctonus crassicauda
Lineage: Eukaryota; Metazoa; Arthropoda; Arachnida; Scorpiones; Buthidae
Source: RNAcentral